Molecule: long non-coding RNA, 2188 nt
Organism: Solanum tuberosum (potato)
Lineage: Eukaryota; Viridiplantae; Streptophyta; Magnoliopsida; Solanales; Solanaceae
Exons: 2
Source: RefSeq, a predicted model, not a curated record
ACCAGGUCAUUCUUUGUGAAACGGAGGGAGUAUUAGGCUAUUCCUCAAAUUUAUAAAAUAGUUUUCUAACCCCUCAACAGCUUUCCUAUUUCUUUCUAACCCCACAUGAUGGCUAGCGGGGCAACAUCCCGUGCCCUGCAUCUUCUCUUCCUUCUUCUAGCAGCCUAGUUUGAAUGCAUCUUUCAUUGAGCCCGACAUUUUUUGACCAACGACUUCUGUGAAAACGCACCAUCAUUUCUUUCUCCCACCUUCACAAGUCCUGACCAGUGAGUGCUAUCCCGAGAAUAGAACAUUCCCAUCAAUCUUUGGAUUUCACUACUGCCCAAUCUUUUAGAUUUGUUUUGAUUCACCAGUCUCAUGAACCCAACCCUCUUGUACCACCUGGAUUUGUUGGCAUCAUCUCUUUUUUGCAUGAACUUGUGAAUGAGUUAGGGAUGGUCAUCAUUAACAUGCUCUCUCCAUGACCACUGUUGAUCCCACAAGACUCUUCUUUCAUUUCCUACCUAAUAGGUAACAAAGUUGCUAAAUUCUUCUUAACCCUUUAUGAUAUUGCUGAAAAGACAUAUCUAUAAGGUAAUUUUACGUUCUAGCCUCCAUUUCCUUUCCACGACUCUGUAUAUCUUGCUAUCACCUCCAUUCGUAAUGCCUAAUCGUCAAUCCUAAAUCUUUAUAGCCACUUCCCAGGUGGUGCCUUGUUGAAAAUUCUAAAUUUUUUCAUCCAAGCCCUCUUAUAGGUUUCAUCUGUUGAGUCCCUGAAGAAGUUUUUCCUUUACAACAUUUUUGUCACAUUAAUGGGAACUCUGUGUCUUAUUUGAAUGUUGUGUGAUUCUCUUGCGGUCAAAAAAGUGUAGAAACACCAACUCUGGUCCCUAUUUGAAUUUGUUGCAUUAACUCAAAAUGUCGCUAGCAUUGGUCACCCCUAUGAAUUCUAAAAUGAAUUCACAUACAACUGAGUUUUGGCUUAAAUUUUUCUUUCUUUGCUCCUGCUAUCCCAGUAUAAGCAUAUACUGCUGUCGUUCUUUGCCACCACUAACUAACUCUAAUUUUGUUAGCCAUCUGAGAUUUACAGUGUUCUGUGAGCAAGUUUCUCUAUAGUGAAACCUUUCUUUGGCUUAGCAAGGUCCUUUAUCUGCAGGUUAAUUGAUAAUGUAGGUCUAUUGAUAGCCAGUUGCAGUUUAGUUUUCCUACUUUAGGUACUCAAUAGUGCAGGUAGAGUUACUCUUGGUGGGAGUAUUCCUUUAAUUCCUUAACUAGCAGAUGAAAUGAGAGAGGUGCACAGUUUGAUUUUACUUAUCAAAAAUAGUUAUCUUUUUUUAUGACUACAUUGACCAUUUCCACUGUAGAAAAAGUGAGAUGAAUGAGAUUAAUAUGCUUGACAAAAAAUAACGUGGGCUGAGAAGAAUUCAUCCUCUGUUAACGAGAUUAAACUGGCUCAUUUUCACCUUUUGCGCUUCAUUGACAUGAAGGAUUAUGGUUGAUUCAGGAAAGCUGCAUCCUUUGAAAAUAAAGAAAUGGAGGGUCUCAGUACUAUAAGCAAUUUGAAGGAGCUUGUUCUACAUAGAAACAAAAUUUCGGAAAUUAAAAGACCUUGCUGAAGGGGUUCAAGACAAGCAGAAACAAAAUUUGCUUCUCUGUCUAUUUGAUCAGUUGAACAGGCAUCCGACUAUAUUUAGUUGCUAUCUACACAGGUAAGUCUUGAUGUAGCUCAUCUGCAGCAGCUAGAGAUAUCAGAAGCCUUAGAAUCUAGAGAAGUAGAAACAAGGAAAAAUUGCAAUCAUGAUGUUUUUGAUGCCCGACCAACUCAAGUGGACUUGUUGGUGAGGAAUCAGAUUUAUAGGAAGUGGCAACAGAAUCUCUCAUGAGCAGUCCCCGGAACUUUUGCUUCUGUCUGUGAACAACUUUUAAGCUCUUGCCUUUAGUUCGGACUUCUCAAUUUACAUAGAUGCAGACCUGUUAUUUUGAUAAAAAAAUAUAAGAGCUAUGUGUUUUUGGUACAGUUUGUCCAAAAGAAUCGAUAAUAUUAAUCAAGACCAAAAAUGCAGGUCCUGCUUUUUAUUGAUUUGUACCUUUUCAGUUCAUGAUUUGCUUUCAACUAGUAUGUUUCUUCUUUUUCCACUGUAUCCUAUCCUUCUUAGGGGUUAAGAAUUGGUAGGGAUAUGUUAAAAUCCUCUAUAAAUUUCUCCGUUUA